This 871-nucleotide ribosomal RNA is filed under the name uncultured bacterium. RNAcentral describes it as "bacterial SSU rRNA". It matches the Rfam family "Bacterial small subunit ribosomal RNA", at positions 1 to 864 of the family's 1533-position model. The record is from RNAcentral.
GAAUUCGCCCUUAGAGUUUGAUCCUGGCUCAGGACGAACGCUGGCGGCGUGCCUAACACAUGCAAGUCGAACGGAACUUCUUUAAAAGAUUUCUUCGGAAUGAAUUUGAUUAAGUUUAGUGGCGGACGGGUGAGUAACGCGUGAGUAACCUGCCUCUGAGAGGGGAAUAACAUUCUGAAAAGAAUGCUAUUACCGCAUAACAUAUAUUUAUCGCAUGGUAGAUAUAUCAAAGAUUUAUCGCUCAGAGAUGGACUCGCGUCCGAUUAGUUAGUUGGUGAGGUAACGGCUCACCAAGACCGCGAUCGGUAGCCGGACUGAGAGGUUGAACGGCCACAUUGGGACUGAGACACGGCCCAGACUCCUACGGGAGGCAGCAGUGGGGGAUAUUGCGCAAUGGGGGAAACCCUGACGCAGCAACGCCGCGUGAAGGAUGAAGGUCUUCGGAUUGUAAACUUCUUUUAUUAAGGACGAAGAAAGUGACGGUACUUAAUGAAUAAGCUCCGGCUAACUACGUGCCAGCAGCCGCGGUAAUACGUAGGGAGCAAGCGUUGUCCGGAUUUACUGGGUGUAAAGGGUGCGUAGGCGGCUUUGCAAGUCAGAUGUGAAAUCUAUGGGCUCAACCCAUAGCCUGCAUUUGAAACUGCAGAGCUUGAGUGAAGUAGAGGCAGGCGGAAUUCCCCGUGUAGCGGUGAAAUGCAUAGAGAUGGGGAGGAACACCAGUGGCGAAGGCGGCCUGCUGGGCUUUAACUGACGCUGAGGCACGAAAGCGUGGGUAGCAAACAGGAUUAGAUACCCUGGUAGUCCACGCUGUAAACGAUGAUUACUAGGUGUGGGGGGCCUGACCCCUUCCGUGCCGGAUUAACCCAAUAAG